CGGGGUGGAUUAGUGGCGAACGGGUGAGUAACACGUGGGCAAUCUGCCCUUCACUCUGGGACAAGCCCUGGAAACGGGGUCUAAUACCGGAUAACACUCCUACAGGCAUCUGUGGGGGUUGAAAGCUCCGGCGGUGAAGGAUGAGCCCGCGGCCUAUCAGCUUGUUGGUGAGGUAGAAGCUCACCAAGGCGACGACGGGUAGCCGGCCUGAGAGGGCGACCGGCCACACUGGGACUGAGACACGGCCCAGACUCCUACGGGAGGCAGCAGUGGGGAAUAUUGCACAAUGGGCGAAAGCCUGAUGCAGCGACGCCGCGUGAGGGAUGACGGCCUUCGGGUUGUAAACCUCUUUCAGCAGGGAAGAAGCGAAAGUGACGGUACCUGCAGAAGAAGCGCCGGCUAACUACGUGCCAGCAGCCGCGGUAAUACGUAGGGCGCAAGCGUUGUCCGGAAUUAUUGGGCGUAAAGAGCUCGUAGGCGGUCUGUCACGUCAGAUGUGAAAGCCCGGGGCUUAACCCCGGGUCUGCAUUCGAUACGGGCAGACUAGAGUGUGGUAGGGGAGAUCGGAAUUCCUGGUGUAGCGGUGAAAUGCUCAGAUAUCAUGAGGAACAC
Molecule: ribosomal RNA, 612 nt
Filed under: Streptomyces umbrinus
Lineage: Bacteria; Bacillati; Actinomycetota; Actinomycetes; Kitasatosporales; Streptomycetaceae
Description: bacterial SSU rRNA
Rfam family: Bacterial small subunit ribosomal RNA
Source: RNAcentral